Molecule: ribosomal RNA, 206 nt
Filed under: uncultured Veillonellaceae bacterium
Lineage: Bacteria; Bacillati; Bacillota; Negativicutes; Veillonellales; Veillonellaceae
Description: partial 16S ribosomal RNA
Rfam family: Bacterial small subunit ribosomal RNA
Source: RNAcentral
CAUGUAGGCGGGAAUCUAAGUCUGUUGUGAAAAUGCGGGGCUCAACCCCGUAUGGCGAUGGAAACUGGAUUUCUUGAGUGCAGGAGAGGAAAGGGGAACUCCCAGUGUAGCGGUGAAAUGCGUAGAUAUUGGGAGGAACACCAGUGGCGAAGGCGCCUUUCUGGACUGUGUCUGACGCUGAGAUGCGAAAGCCAGGGUAGCGAACG